Molecule: ribosomal RNA, 486 nt
Filed under: uncultured bacterium
Lineage: Bacteria
Description: partial 16S ribosomal RNA
Rfam family: Bacterial small subunit ribosomal RNA
Source: RNAcentral
AUUGAACGCUAGCGGCAUGCCUUACACAUGCAAGUCGAACGGCAGCACGGGUGCUUGCACCUGGUGGCGAGUGGCGAACGGGUGAGUAAUACAUCGGAACAUGUCCUGUAGUGGGGGAUAGCCCGGCGAAAGCCGGAUUAAUACCGCAUACGAUCUACGGAUGAAAGCGGGGGACCUUCGGGCCUCGCGCUAUAGGGUUGGCCGAUGGCUGAUUAGCUAGUUGGUGGGGUAAAGGCCUACCAAGGCGACGAUCAGUAGCUGGUCUGAGAGGACGACCAGCCACACUGGGACUGAGACACGGCCCAGUCUCCUACGGGAGGCAGCAGUGGGGAAUUUUGGACAAUGGGCGAAAGCCUGAUCCAGCAAUGCCGCGUGUGUGAAGAAGGCCUUCGGGUUGUAAAGCACUUUUGUCCGGAAAGAAAUCCUUGGCCCUAAUACGGUCGGGGGAUGACGGUACCGGAAGAAUAAGCACCGGCUAACUACGUG